AGGAUGAUAGCCACUUGGAGUCAUACCGGUUAGAGGCUUAUAUUCAUAUUGUUUAUUUGACUGCCUUGAUCCUACUCGGACAGGGACAGAAGG
Molecule: regulatory RNA element, 93 nt
Rfam family: pan motif
Source: Rfam